Molecule: long non-coding RNA, 1087 nt
Filed under: Hordeum vulgare
Lineage: Eukaryota; Viridiplantae; Streptophyta; Magnoliopsida; Poales; Poaceae
Description: long non-coding RNA (HVUL_LNC010896)
Source: RNAcentral
UCAAAAAGUGCAUCAUGCGUUGAUGUAGACAUAUUCACCAGAUUUAGCAUGGAAACGUUGACGGCUAUGUCAUAGUUAUAAAGAGCAGUGGUAGCAAAGGGGCUCCAAGGCAAUCUGAAAACUCAAAAUAUCAGCACAAGAUUGCAAUAUCUUUAGAGCGACAUGCCUAUGGCAGCCUCUCAUCUUGACAGAUAGCUUUUACUAAUCAGUGGUCAAGGCAUCAAGGCGACAAACAAGGGACCUUCAACUUUACUAUGAAUUGCCAAAUCCAACUAGUAUUGUGUCUGUGCAUGCCAUGCACGACCGAACAAUUUUUUCGAGGAAAUUUAAAAGAACAAUACUUGGCAUCUGAAUUGCAAAAUCUAACGAGUAGUGGAAGACUCUAGAGAAGAUUUUAUCAACCAACAACAGAUUUGAUGUGAUACAUGGUAUAUACAGAGUACAAACAUUUUUUCUAUGGCCGUUAUUUGGCAUGUUUUCAACAGAAAUGGCCUGUUAAGCCUAUUGACGUUUUUGUUUAUAGUGUCAUACUGGAUCACUUGCGGAGUAAUUUUCAAGGGAAGGAGGACGCAAGAGUGGCGUUGCAACGUUGCACAAAGCUACUCGAGCGAGUCACGGUUGAAGUGUUUCGGGUAAGAAGAGGCUGGAAAUCCUGGGUGCUAGACUGGUGAACUGAAGCUGGGAUGGAUGAAAGCUCGAAGAUAAAGUAUGUAGUUGUCCCUCUUUCCUUUGCCUCAUGUCUCACUCUAUUCACUAAUAAAAAGCAGACCUUACGUUUGGAUCAUUAGUUUUGGUUUAAUUUUGGUCCGGGAUUAAUGUGAUCAUUAGUCUCGGUUUCAACGGCUAGGAGCUGUCGGAGUUACGGGCAUCUUUAGUCCCGGUUCAUUUUGUACCUAUAGUUCCGGUUUGUGAUACGAACUGGGACUAAAGGCGUGGUGGUAGUCUGACGUUAGGCUGGGGACCCCACGAGUCCAUUUAGUCUCGGUUUGUAUCACAAACCUGGACUAUAGAUAGGCAUUUAGUCACGGUUUGUAUAACUAUUCGGGACUAAAGAUGUCCCUAUAUAAGCCCAUUCUUCCAAACCGAG